Molecule: ribosomal RNA, 862 nt
Filed under: Curvularia lunata
Lineage: Eukaryota; Fungi; Ascomycota; Dothideomycetes; Pleosporales; Pleosporaceae
Description: SSU rRNA
Rfam family: Eukaryotic small subunit ribosomal RNA
Source: RNAcentral
UAGUAUAAGCAUUAUACCGUGAAACUGCGAAUGGCUCAUUAAAUCAGUUAUCGUUUAUUUGAUAAUACCUUACUACUUGGAUAACCGUGGUAAUUCUAGAGCUAAUACAUGCUGAAAAUCCCGACUUCGGAAGGGAUGUGUUUAUUAGAUAAAAAACCAAUGCCCUUCGGGGCUCUUUGGUGAUUCAUGAUAACUUUACGGAUCGCAUAGCCUUGCGCUGGCGACGGUUCAUUCAAAUUUCUGCCCUAUCAACUUUCGAUGGUAAGGUAUUGGCUUACCAUGGUUUCAACGGGUAACGGGGAAUUAGGGUUCGAUUCCGGAGAGGGAGCCUGAGAAACGGCUACCACAUCCAAGGAAGGCAGCAGGCGCGCAAAUUACCCAAUCCCGACACGGGGAGGUAGUGACAAUAAAUACUGAUACAGGGCUCUUUUGGGUCUUGUAAUUGGAAUGAGUACAAUUUAAACCUCUUAACGAGGAACAAUUGGAGGGCAAGUCUGGUGCCAGCAGCCGCGGUAAUUCCAGCUCCAAUAGCGUAUAUUAAAGUUGUUGCAGUUAAAAAGCUCGUAGUUGAAACUUGGGCCUGGCUGGCGGGUCCGCCUCACCGCGUGCACUCGUCCGGCCGGGCCUUCCUUCUGAAGAACCUCAUGCCCUUCACUGGGCGUGUUGGGGAAUCAGGACUUUUACUUUGAAAAAAUUAGAGUGUUCAAAGCAGGCCUUUGCUCGAAUACGUUAGCAUGGAAUAAUAAAAUAGGGCGUGCGUUUCUAUUUUGUUGGUUUCUAGAGACGCCGCAAUGAUUAACAGGAACAGUCUGGGGCAUCACUAUUCAGUUGUCAGAGGUGAAAUUCUUGGAUUUACUGAAGA